CAGUCGUGGCUUACUGGUUAGGGCUUUAGGCUUGCAACCGAAGGGUUGCCGGUUCGAUCCCAGUGGGAACGGCUGA
This 76-nucleotide transfer RNA is filed under the name Alosa alosa (allis shad). RNAcentral's name for it is "tRNA-Ala". Lineage: Eukaryota; Metazoa; Chordata; Actinopteri; Clupeiformes; Clupeidae. The record is from RNAcentral.